RNAcentral lists this ribosomal RNA (253 nucleotides) under uncultured bacterium. RNAcentral describes it as "partial 16S ribosomal RNA". It matches the Rfam family "Bacterial small subunit ribosomal RNA", at positions 524 to 776 of the family's 1533-position model. The record is from RNAcentral.
UACGUAGGUGGCGAGCGUUGUCCGGAUUUACUGGGCGUAAAGGGAGCGUAGGCGGACUUUUAAGUGAGAUGUGAAAUACUCGGGCUCAACUUGAGUGCUGCAUUUCAAACUGGAAGUCUAGAGUGCAGGAGAGGAGAAUGGAAUUCCUAGUGUAGCGGUGAAACGCGUAGAGAUUAGGAAGAACACCAGUGGCGAAGGCGAUUCUCUGGACUGUAACUGACGCUGAGGCUCGAAAGCGUGGGGAGCAAACAGG